RNAcentral lists this ribosomal RNA (472 nucleotides) under uncultured bacterium. Its description in RNAcentral is "partial 16S ribosomal RNA". It matches the Rfam family "Bacterial small subunit ribosomal RNA", at positions 28 to 507 of the family's 1533-position model. The record is from RNAcentral.
GACGAACGCUGGCGGCGUGCUUAACACAUGCAAGUCGAACGCUGAAGCUUGGUGCUUGCGCUGGGUGGAUGAGUGGCGAACGGGUGAGUAAUACGUGAGUAACCUGCCCUUGACUCUGGGAUAAGCCUGGGAAACUGGGUCUAAUACUGGAUACGACAUGUCACCGCAUGGUGGUGUGUGGAGAUGGGUUUACUGGUUUUGGAUGGGCUCACGGCCUAUCAGCUUGUUGGUGGGGUAAUGGCUCACCAAGGCGACGACGGGUAGCCGGCCUGAGAGGGUGACCGGCCACAUUGGGACUGAGACACGGCCCAGACUCCUACGGGAGGCAGCAGUGGGGAAUAUUGCACAAUGGGCGGAAGCCUGAUGCAGCGACGCCGCGUGAGGGAUGACGGCCUUCGGGUUGUAAACCUCUUUCAGCACGGAAGAAGCGAAAGUGACGGUACGUGCAGAAGAAGCGCCGGCUAACUACGUG